This 422-nucleotide ribosomal RNA is filed under the name uncultured bacterium. RNAcentral describes it as "bacterial SSU rRNA". It matches the Rfam family "Bacterial small subunit ribosomal RNA", at positions 358 to 772 of the family's 1533-position model. The record is from RNAcentral.
GGAAUAUUGGACAAUGGGCGCAAGCCUGAUCCAGCCAUGCCGCGUGUGUGAAGAAGGCCUUCGGGCUGUAAAGCACUUUCAGCGGGGAGGAAGGGUGUUGUGUUAAUAGCACAGCAUUUUGACGUUACCCGCAGAAGAAGCACCGGCUAACUCCGUGCCAGCAGCCGCGGCAAUACGGAGGGUGCAAGCGUUAACAGGAAUUACUGGGCGUAAAGCGCACGUAGGCCGUAUGUUAAGUUGGUUGUGAAAGCCCCGUGCUCAACCUGGGAAUUGCAUUCAAAACUGGCAUGCUAGAGUAUGUGAGAGGGGGGUAGAAUUCCAAGUGUAGCGGUGAAAUGCGUAGAGAUUUGGAGGAAUACCAGUGGCGAAGGCGGCCCCCUGGCACAAUACUGACGCUCAGGUGCGAAAGCGUGGGGAGCAAA